Homo sapiens (human) is the source of this 1783-nucleotide long non-coding RNA. The record is from Ensembl. NCBI's taxonomy places the organism in Eukaryota, Metazoa, Chordata, Mammalia, Primates, Hominidae.
UUUUUUUUUUUUUUUUUUUUUGUCAUCUGGGAUCUUGCUGAAUGUCUGAGUACUGUGUUAAGCCCCGGGAGGCUCUAGGACAUUCAACCAGUCUGUGACCCCAGGGAAGUGUUCCAUUGCCCACUGCAACUGCAGACCAUGGAUGCCACAAAUCAUUUAUAUGGACCUCCCAACACUGGUAGGACUGUAUUUGUGUUGGGGGAGGAGGUGGCACUCAAAUCCUGAACAACCAUUCACCAGAAUCCAUCUGAUUGUCCAGGUCCCUGAAUCCUAGAGUGGUGCCGAUGUCUUACAAUUUAUGAAUGAAUGUAUUAGACAAGAGGUAAUCUUUAAGUUCCUUUUAAGGCCUAAUCCAUUAAGCUAUAUUUAGACCAUCAGACUAAUCAUCUGGUUUUUAUGACAUUAUUUUGUUACCAACUUUAGAUCCAGGUUUGUUCUGCUUGCAUGCAGUAAACCAAUCACUGUGAUACGGGUUUUGCAAAAGAGAAAAGAUUUAUUCACAAGGCUGCCAAGCAAGAAAGCAGGAGAACAGUGCUCAAAUCCACCUUCCCAAAGAUAAGCCUUAGCUAUAUUUACGGGUUAGGGAAGUGGGGUGGUCUAAGGCAUGGGGAAAAGUAAUUGACAGUGGGGAUAAAAGUAACAGGUUUAUUCUGUGCAAGCAUAGCCAGGGUUCAUGACAUUACAUAGGACAUAUAAACCCAAAAUAGUGGCAUUAGCAUGAUCUGAGGGUGGCAUUUUUGGUCUUCUGACAUUCAGAAGGCCAUUUCUCAGGCACUUGUGGAGGCCUAGUUGAAGAGCCAGUGGCCUUAACUGGUUUGAACUGGACAGGAGCUGGCCCAAGUUCCUGAAAAACAACUGAAGCAAUCAUUACUGUGGUGAACUAUGAAUGUUAUUUAUAAAGUAGCCAGUGAAGGUUAAGUUUCAGAGUUCAGCAGGGUGGCAUUCAACUACUGUAGCCUUCAGCUUCAUGAAAAAAGAAAAGAAAUAACAAAAAGCAAGCCACCAAAAGCAAGCAGGGCGGACAGACCUGAUCAAAUUAACCCUUCAGUUUCCAUUUUGCCUGCGGUUUGGGGUUCUUAGAUACUAAUACAGAUUAUUUCACUUUUUACACUAUAUGGGAUGUUUUUUUCCCAAAACAGUAUAUUUUUACAAUUUCAGUCAUAUUUGAAGUGCCCUAAGAUAGCUUCUCAAUUAAUUCCUUUAAUACAUUUUUUACUUGGCAUCUACUAUGUGCCAGACACUGUAGAACAUUGUGAAAGACAGACAUGCUGUUUGCUUCCAAAAAACUCAUGUGUUAGUGAGGACAACAGGGAAUAAACAAUACAAAUAUAAUAUCAUAUCAGGAAGUGAUAAAAAGAAAAAUAAAGCAGAUUAAAGAGUGAUGAAAGAGGCUUACUAUUUUAGAUAAGCUGAUUAGGCAAGGUCCCUGGCAGGGUGACUGAAUUUUGGAAUAACUAACUACUCACAUAUGUAUAUAAUAUUUAUUAGUUAACUUUUACUGUUAAGAUUUUUCAGUAUUUUCAGUGCAUCAUAUUUUUUAUUCCUUUGCCUGAUUUAACAUAGAUAUCCUAUUAUAAAAGUAUCUAUGAUUCCAGCUUUUCCCAUAAACCAUAUUGUAAUGAUUUUCUGUUUCAAACCCUUUGGGACAACCUUUUAAAAUAUAUCAUAUUCCUUAAGUAUUUCCAUAUUGUUAGAUACUUAAAUUAUUUCUAGUUUCUUGCUAUUAUAGAUAACAUUGAUGUCAACCUCAUUUUAAAAUAAAUCUUCAAAAAUGUUUGAAGUA